RNAcentral lists this small nuclear RNA (107 nucleotides) under Schistocerca americana (American grasshopper). The record is from RNAcentral. Lineage: Eukaryota; Metazoa; Arthropoda; Insecta; Orthoptera; Acrididae.
GUACUCGCUUCGGCGGUACAUAUACUAAAAUUGGAACGAUACAGAGAAGAUUAGCAUGGCCCCUGCGCAAGGAUGACACGCAAAAUCGUGAAACGUUCCACAUUUAA